UAGGGAAUCUUCGGCAAUGGACGAAAGUCUGACCGAGCAACGCCGCGUGAGUGAAGAAGGUUUUCGGAUCGUAAAACUCUGUUGUUAGAGAAGAACAAGGAUGAGAAGAGAAUGUUCAUCCCUUGACGGUAUCUAACCAGAAAGCCACGGCUAACUACGUGCCAGCAGCCGCGGUAAUCGUAGGUGGCAAGCGUUGUCCGGAUUUAUUGGGCGUAAAGCGAGCGCAGGCGGUUCUUUAAGUCUGAUGUGAAAGCCCCCGGCUCAACCGGGGAGGGUCAUUGGAAACU
RNAcentral lists this ribosomal RNA (287 nucleotides) under uncultured bacterium. Its description in RNAcentral is "partial 16S ribosomal RNA". It matches the Rfam family "Bacterial small subunit ribosomal RNA", at positions 355 to 634 of the family's 1533-position model. The record is from RNAcentral.